Long non-coding RNA from Fundulus heteroclitus (mummichog), 964 nucleotides. RefSeq lists it as uncharacterized. The transcript is spliced from 3 exons. The record is from RefSeq and is a predicted model, not a curated record. NCBI's taxonomy places the organism in Eukaryota, Metazoa, Chordata, Actinopteri, Cyprinodontiformes, Fundulidae.
UUAAAUGUAGCAUACUUUUGUAUUCAACAUUUGGUUUCACAAAAUUGAAUCCAGUAUAAUUAAUUACCUUAAGUCACCUUAUUCAUAAAUCGAGUCCAUCCUUAUGUAAUGUAAUCUCUAUAUAAAUCUGACUGUCCAUGUGAAAAUGGAAAGAUGGACAGCUGCAAACCAAGACAACGCUGUCCAAAUAAACGGAAUGGCCGAGUAAGAGGAGCGAUGACUCUGGAGGAGCUGCAGAGAUCCGCAGGUCGGGUAGGAGACUCUGUUGAAACGAUGUCCGUCAGCGGAUUACUUUGUUUUCGGAGCAGCAAAACUCCAUUUACAGGCCGGCCUGACUGCAGACAGCUGAAGGGGGAAACCCCGGUUACCACAGCGUUUAUCUGCCCAGGCACUCUGAGAUUUCCUGCUUUCUGCUAGCUGCUCAUCACAGCUGAGGGCAGAUGUUCAGAUGCAGUUUGCCAAAAUCUCCCAGAGAUCUUCUUCAUGUCCUGCCAUCAUUAUGUACCUGCAGACUGAUUUUAUUUAUUUAUUUUUUCACAAAAAAAAACAUUUCCUGUGCCGUAAAUAUCUGCGUUUACUUGAUUAUAAGAACAAUAAAAAAGUGUUAAUCAGUGUUUUAGUAGUUUCUAAAUGUAUUAUAGUUGUACAGCAACAAGUCUGGCCAGAUGCAGGUUGGUUAAAAAGAUUAAAUGACAAAUAUUUAUCUAAACUUUUCCUGCCUGUGGAUUCAGUGCAACCUGAGGAAUAAUAGAAGAAAUUAAUCAACUGUGUAACUCUAAAGAUGCUCAUCAGCUGCAGUUAUCAGUUAAAACUAAAAAUAAUAAUUUAUUAGGGUUGGAGUACAGCAGACAGGAGUUUCUCAGCAUAAGAGAAGAUGUGCAGUACAGAGCGAGCCUUCUAGCAUUCAUGGGUCAGAUUGCCAAAAACCAUUCGACAUAAUUUUCCAUUGUGCGGAUAAAUGUCU